UGAGCAAUCUGCCCUUCUCAUCGGAAUAAGCGUUGGAAACGACGUCUAAUGCCGAAUACGACCUCCUUUCGCAUGAUCGGAGGUGGAAAGCUCCGGCGGAGAAGGAUGAGCUCGCGGCCUAUCAGCUAGUUGGUGUGGGUAAUGGCCCACCAAGGCGACGACGGGUAGCCGGCCUGAGAGGGUGACCGGCUACACUGGGACUGAGACACGGCCCAGACUCCGUACGGGGGNAGCG
RNAcentral lists this ribosomal RNA (235 nucleotides) under uncultured bacterium. RNAcentral describes it as "partial 16S ribosomal RNA". It matches the Rfam family "Bacterial small subunit ribosomal RNA", at positions 118 to 353 of the family's 1533-position model. The record is from RNAcentral.